CGGUUAAGUUAGAAAGGGCGCACGGUGGAUGCCUUGGCACUAGGAGCCGAUGAAGGACGGGACGAACACCGAUAUGCUUCGGGGAGCUGUAAGCAAGCUUUGAUCCGGAGAUUUCCGAAUGGGGAAACCCACCACUCGUAAUGGAGUGGUAUCCAUAUCUGAAUACAUAGGGUAUGAGAAGGCAGACCCGGGGAACUGAAACAUCUAAGUACCCGGAGGAAGAGAAAGCAAAUGCGAUUCCCUGAGUAGCGGCGAGCGAAACGGGACCAGCCCAAACCAAGAGGCUUGCCUCUUGGGGUUGUAGGACACUCUGUACGGAGUUACAAAGGAACGAGGUAGAUGAAGAGGUCUGGAAAGGCCCGCCAUAGAAGGUAACAGCCCUGUAGUCAAAACUUCGUUCUCUCCUGAGUGGAUCCUGAGUACGGCGGAACACGUGAAAUUCCGUCGGAAUCCGGGAGGACCAUCUCCCAAGGCUAAAUACUCCCUAGUGACCGAUAGUGAACCAGUACCGUGAGGGAAAGGUGAAAAGCACCCCGGAAGGGGAGUGAAAGAGAUCCUGAAACCGUGUGCCUACAAGUAGUCAGAGCCCGUUAACGGGUGAUGGCGUGCCUUUUGUAGAAUGAACCGGCGAGUUACGAUCCCGUGCAAGGUUAAGCAGAAGAUGCGGAGCCGCAGCGAAAGCGAGUCUGAAUAGGGCGAAUUGAGUACGUGGUCGUAGACCCGAAACCAGGUGAUCUACCCAUGUCCAGGGUGAAGUUCAGGUAACACUGAAUGGAGGCCCGAACCCACGCACGUUGAAAAGUGCGGGGAUGAGGUGUGGGUAGGGGUGAAAUGCCAAUCGAACCUGGAGAUAGCUGGUUCUCUCCGAAAUAGCUUUAGGGCUAGCCUCAAGGUAAGAGUCUCGGAGGUAGAGCACUGAUUGGACUAGGGGCCCCUACCGGGUUACCGAAUUCAGUCAAACUCCGAAUGCCGAUGACUUAUCCUUGGGAGUCAGACUGCGAGUGAUAAGAUCCGUAGUCGAAAGGGAAACAGCCCAGACCGCCAGCUAAGGUCCCAAAGUAUACGUUAAGUGGAAAAGGAUGUGGAGUUGCUUAGACAACCAGGAUGUUGGCUUAGAAGCAGCCACCAUUUAAAGAGUGCGUAAUAGCUCACUGGUCGAGUGACUCUGCGCCGAAAAUGUACCGGGGCUAAACGUAUCACCGAAGCUGCGGACUGUUCUUCGAACAGUGGUAGGAGAGCGUUCUAAGGGCUGUGAAGCAAGACCGGAAGGACUUGUGGAGCGCUUAGAAGUGAGAAUGCCGGUAUGAGUAGCGAAAGAGGGGUGAGAAUCCCCUCCACCGAAUGCCUAAGGUUUCCUGAGGAAGGCUCGUCCGCUCAGGGUUAGUCGGGACCUAAGCCGAGGCCGAAAGGCGUAGGCGAUGGAUAACAGGUUGAUAUUCCUGUACCACCUCCUCACCAUUUGAGCAAUGGGGGGACGCAGGAGGAUAGGGUAAGCGCGGUAUUGGAUAUCCGCGUCCAAGCAGUUAGGCUGGGAAAUAGGCAAAUCCGUUUCCCGUGAAGGCUGAGCUGUGAUGGCGAGCGAAUUAUAGUAGCGAAGUUCCUGAUUCCACACUGCCAAGAAAAGCCUCUAGCGAGGUGAGAGGUGCCCGUACCGCAAACCGACACAGGUAGGCGAGGAGAGAAUCCUAAGGUGAUCGAGAGAACUCUCGUUAAGGAACUCGGCAAAAUGACCCCGUAACUUCGGGAGAAGGGGUGCUCUGUUAGGGUGCAAGCCCGAGAGAGCCGCAGUGAAUAGGCCCAGGCGACUGUUUAGCAAAAACACAGGUCUCUGCGAAGCCGUAAGGCGAAGUAUAGGGGCUGACGCCUGCCCGGUGCUGGAAGGUUAAGAGGAGCGCUUAGCGUAAGCGAAGGUGCGAAUUGAAGCCCCAGUAAACGGCGGCCGUAACUAUAACGGUCCUAAGGUAGCGAAAUUCCUUGUCGGGUAAGUUCCGACCCGCACGAAAGGCGCAACGAUCUGGGCACUGUCUCAACGAGAGACUCGGUGAAAUUAUAGUACCUGUGAAGAUGCAGGUUACCCGCGACAGGACGGAAAGACCCCGUGGAGCUUUACUGCAGCCUGAUAUUGAAUGUUGGUACAGCUUGUACAGGAUAGGUAGGAGCCUUGGAAACCGGAGCGCCAGCUUCGGUGGAGGCAUCGGUGGGAUACUAACCUGGCUGUAUUGACCUUCUAACCCGCCGCCCUUAUCGGGCGGGGAGACAGUGUCAGGUGGGCAGUUUGACUGGGGCGGUCGCCUCCUAAAAGGUAACGGAGGCGCCCAAAGGUUCCCUCAGAAUGGUUGGAAAUCAUUCGCAGAGUGUAAAGGCACAAGGGAGCUUGACUGCGAGACCUACAAGUCGAGCAGGGACGAAAGUCGGGCUUAGUGAUCCGGUGGUUCCGCAUGGAAGGGCCAUCGCUCAACGGAUAAAAGCUACCCCGGGGAUAACAGGCUUAUCUCCCCCAAGAGUCCACAUCGACGGGGAGGUUUGGCACCUCGAUGUCGGCUCAUCGCAUCCUGGGGCUGUAGUCGGUCCCAAGGGUUGGGCUGUUCGCCCAUUAAAGCGGUACGCGAGCUGGGUUCAGAACGUCGUGAGACAGUUCGGUCCCUAUCCGUCGCGGGCGCAGGAAAUUUGAGAGGAGCUGUCCUUAGUACGAGAGGACCGGGAUGGACGCACCGCUGGUGUACCAGUUGUUCUGCCAAGGGCAUCGCUGGGUAGCUAUGUGCGGACGGGAUAAGUGCUGAAAGCAUCUAAGCAUGAAGCCCCCCUCAAGAUGAGAUUUCCCAUUCCGCAAGGAAGUAAGAUCCCUGAAAGAUGAUCAGGUUGAUAGGUCUGAGGUGGAAGUGUGGCGACACAUGGAGCUGACAGAUACUAAUCGAUCGAGGACUUAACCAAUUU
This 2934-nucleotide ribosomal RNA is filed under the name Bacillus amyloliquefaciens. RNAcentral describes it as "bacterial LSU rRNA". It matches the Rfam family "Bacterial large subunit ribosomal RNA". The record is from RNAcentral. Lineage: Bacteria; Bacillati; Bacillota; Bacilli; Caryophanales; Bacillaceae. RNAcentral also lists the same sequence under 2 other names.